RNAcentral lists this ribosomal RNA (465 nucleotides) under uncultured bacterium. Its description in RNAcentral is "partial 16S ribosomal RNA". It matches the Rfam family "Bacterial small subunit ribosomal RNA", at positions 28 to 507 of the family's 1533-position model. The record is from RNAcentral.
GACGAACGCUGGCGGCGUGCUUAACACAUGCAAGUCGUACGGUAAGGCCCUUUCGGGGGUACACGAGUGGCGAACGGGUGAGUAACACGUGAGUAACCUGCCCACAACUUUGGGAUAACGCUAGGAAACUGGUGCUAAUACUGGAUAUGUGCUCCUGCGGCAUGGUGGGGGUUGGAAAGCUCCGGCGGUUGUGGAUGGACUCGCGGCCUAUCAGCUUGUUGGUGGGGUAGUGGCCUACCAAGGCGGCGACGGGUAGCCGGCCUGAGAGGGUGACCGGCCACAUUGGGACUGAGAUACGGCCCAGACUCCUACGGGAGGCAGCAGUGGGGAAUAUUGCACAAUGGGCGCAAGCCUGAUGCAGCAACGCCGCGUGCGGGAUGACGGCCUUCGGGUUGUAAACCGCUUUCAGCAGGGACGAAGCUUUUUGUGACGGUACCUGCAGAAGAAGCACCGGCUAACUACGUG